GCUCGCUCUACUCUGCUCAGCUUGCUCUCUGUUCUCCUCUGCAUUAGCCUCCAAAGAAGUCCGCUAAUAUGCAAAUGGCGAUGGUGGGAAAGUCUCAACUCAUCUUCUUGCUGCUGCUCUUUUCAAUCGCACCACAAUUCUCCAUUUCCAGGCCCUUGAAUGGAUGGUUUGACACCGACCUCCAAGCAAUUGACCCAAGCAUAAACGUGGCUCUCCCGAGAGGGGGUCAAAGGAUUCCACCGCUGGUGGAUUCAAUUAACCCAGUUGAUGGUUCUCUGUGCAGCUUCGGUACGGCAGUGAACUCACCGCCAUUAACGUUGUCGAAGCAGAAUCUCGUCGUCCGGAAGCAGACGGCGCCGCUGCUGUGCAACCUCUUAGCCAGAGGAAAGAUGCCGCCGGCGCCUUCUGGCCCAAGUCAGGGAAUCAACGACAAGCACAGUUAGCCAACUCGAUCUGGAGAAGUGUUUUCCUCUUCUUUGAUUUGUUUUACCAAAUUGAGGUCAUUUAUUCCAUGAGUAUACUACGGAAAAUAUAAUGUACGAGCUCAGAUAUACGGAUUUCAGUCCCAACGCUUUGGUCUCAUUAAUGAAUGAUCUACUGAAGUGCAGCAAGAACACGUCAUGAAUGAUCUCAUCUUAAUUGCAUUAUGCUCAUCUUUUUCUAGGAAGAAGCCCAAAGGGCAUUCUAUCAUUACAAAAGGUAUGAAAUUAUACAUGAAGAAAAGGACAAAAAUGAUGAAGGGAAAAAAGAAAAGAGGAGUCAAUGAAACAGAGACAUCUUUCUCAAGACCUGAUAUUUAGCUUGAAACGUGUGAUAUAGUCACCGACACAAAAGCAUACUUGUAUAAGAACAAAUUGGGGUGACAAAUUAAACUAGCCCAAAUGAAGGACAUGAUGCAGACAUCUAAGUGACAAGAGAAGAAUCAUCAUUAUGGUGCCGACCCAGAGGAUAUAACUGGAAACACAACGAACAUUUGUGUUUCCAAUUGGAAACACAACUCGGAUGUUGUGAUCACUUUAAUCGUAUAACUAUUUUUUAUUUUUAGAAUAAUUUUAUAUUUGCUGUUAGGUUAGAAUUACACAUUUGGGCUAUAAGCUAUAUAUAUAUGUGUCUCAAGCAUAUAUCGUUGUUGUUGUUAGUGUUGCUAAUACCAUAAAUUUAAGUUUCGUCUAUCUUUUGUUGAAAAAUAUAGUUUGUGACUAAUGUUCUUGUA
This 1213-nucleotide long non-coding RNA is filed under the name Musa acuminata (dwarf banana). Its description in RNAcentral is "long non-coding RNA (MACU_LNC008673)". The record is from RNAcentral. Lineage: Eukaryota; Viridiplantae; Streptophyta; Magnoliopsida; Zingiberales; Musaceae.